This 800-nucleotide ribosomal RNA is filed under the name uncultured bacterium. RNAcentral describes it as "bacterial SSU rRNA". It matches the Rfam family "Bacterial small subunit ribosomal RNA", at positions 8 to 833 of the family's 1533-position model. The record is from RNAcentral.
AGAGUUUGAUCCUGGCUCAGGACGAACGCUGGCGGCGUGCCUAACACAUGCAAGUCGAGCGAGAAACUUCGGUUUCUAGCGGCGGACGGGUGAGUAACACGUGGGUAACCUGCCUCAAAGAGGGGGAUAGCCUCCCGAAAGGGAGAUUAAUACCGCAUAAUAUUAGAUCUUCACAUGGAGAUUUAAUUAAAGGAGUAAUCCGCUUUGAGAUGGACCCGCGGCGCAUUAGCUAGUUGGUGAGGUAACGGCUCACCAAGGCGACGAUGCGUAGCCGACCUGAGAGGGUGAUCGGCCACAUUGGAACUGAGACACGGUCCAGACUCCUACGGGAGGCAGCAGUGGGGAAUAUUGCACAAUGGGCGAAAGCCUGAUGCAGCAACGCCGCGUGAGUGAUGAAGGCCUUCGGGUUGUAAAACUCUGUCUUCUGGGACGAUAAUGACGGUACCAGAGGAGGAAGCCACGGCUAACUACGUGCCAGCAGCCGCGGUAAUACGUAGGUGGCAAGCGUUGUCCGGAUUUACUGGGCGUAAAGAAUGCGUAGGCGGAUAUUUAAGUCAGAUGUGAAAUACCCGAGCUUAACUUGGGGGCUGCAUUUGAAACUGGAUAUCUAGAGUGCGGGAGAGGAGAGUGGAAUUCCUAGUGUAGCGGUGAAAUGCGUAGAGAUUAGGAAGAACACCAGUGGCGAAGGCGACUCUCUGGACCGUAACUGACGCUGAGGCAUGAAAGCGUGGGGAGCAAACAGGAUUAGAUACCCUGGUAGUCCACGCCGUAAACGAUGGGUACUAGGUGUAGGAGGUAUC